This 497-nucleotide ribosomal RNA is filed under the name uncultured bacterium. RNAcentral describes it as "partial 16S ribosomal RNA". It matches the Rfam family "Bacterial small subunit ribosomal RNA", at positions 28 to 507 of the family's 1533-position model. The record is from RNAcentral.
GAUGAACGCUGGCGGCGUGCCUAAUACAUGCAAGUCGAGCGAACAGACGAGGAGCUUGCUCCUCUGACGUUAGCGGCGGACGGGUGAGUAACACGUGGAUAACCUACCUAUAAGACUGGGAUAACUUCGGGAAACCGGAGCUAAUACCGGAUAAUAUAUUGAACCGCAUGGUUCAAUAGUGAAAGACGGUUUUGCUGUCACUUAUAGAUGGAUCCGCGCCGCAUUAGCUAGUUGGUAAGGUAACGGCUUACCAAGGCAACGAUGCGUAGCCGACCUGAGAGGGUGAUCGGCCACACUGGAACUGAGACACGGUACAGACUCUUACGGAAGGCAGCAGUAGGGAAUCUUCCGCAAUGGGCGAAAGCCUGACGGAGCAACGCCGCGUGAGUGAUGAAGGUCUUCGGAUCGUAAAACUCUGUUAUUAGGGAAGAACAAAUGUGUAAGUAACUAUGCACGUCUUGACGGUACCUAAUCAGAAAGCCACGGCUAACUACGUG